CGGAGCAUGUGGUUUAAUUCGAAGCAACGCGAAGAACCUUACCAGGGCUUGACAUGCCGCUGACCGGUGCAGAGAUGCAUCUUUAUCCUUCGGGGUACAGCGGACACAGGUGGUGCAUGGUUGUCGUCAGCUCGUGUCGUGAGAUGUUGGGUUAAGUCCCGCAACGAGCGCAACCCUUGUCUUUAGUUGCCAUCAUUAAGUUGGGCACUCUAAAGAGACUGCCGAUGACAAAUCGGAGGAAGGUGGGGAUGACGUCAAAUCAUCAUGCCCUUUAUGUCCUGGGCUACACACGUGCUACAAUGGUCGGUACAACGAGAAGCAAGCCAGCGAUGGCAAGCAAAUCUCUAAAAGCCGAUCCCAGUUCGGAUUGCAGGCUGCAACUCGCCUGCAUGAAGUCGGAGUUGCUAGUAAUCGCGGAUCAGAAUGCCGCGGUGAAUGCGUUCCCGGGUCUU
This 452-nucleotide ribosomal RNA is filed under the name uncultured Eubacteriales bacterium. RNAcentral describes it as "bacterial SSU rRNA". It matches the Rfam family "Bacterial small subunit ribosomal RNA", at positions 933 to 1382 of the family's 1533-position model. The record is from RNAcentral. Lineage: Bacteria; Bacillati; Bacillota; Clostridia; Eubacteriales.